This 929-nucleotide ribosomal RNA is filed under the name uncultured Actinomycetes bacterium. RNAcentral describes it as "bacterial SSU rRNA". It matches the Rfam family "Bacterial small subunit ribosomal RNA", at positions 56 to 993 of the family's 1533-position model. Lineage: Bacteria; Bacillati; Actinomycetota; Actinomycetes. The record is from RNAcentral.
UGCAAGUCGAACGAGAUCCACGGUGUAGCAAUACACUUGAAGAUCUAGUGGCGAACGGGUGCGUAACACGUGAGGAACUUGUCCCGGUCUCUGGGAUAACAGUUGGAAACGACUGCUAAUACCGGAUGACGUCGGAGCAUCGCAUGGUGCGCUGACGAAAGGGUUACUGGAUCGGGAGAGCCUCGCGGCCUAUCAGCUUGUUGGUGGGGUAACGGCCCACCAAGGCAUCGACGGGUAGCUGGUCUGAGAGGAUGAUCAGCCACACUGGGACUGAGACACGGCCCAGACUCCUACGGGAGGCAGCAGUGGGGAAUCUUGCGCAAUGGGCGAAAGCCUGACGCAGCAACGCCGCGUGCGGGAUGAAGGCUCUCGGGUUGUAAACCGCUUUCAGCAGGAACGAAAAUGACGGUACUUGCAGAAGAAGGUGCGGCCAACUAUGUGCCAGCAGCCGCGGUGAUACAUAGGCACCAAGCGUUGUCCGGAUUUAUUGGGCGUAAAGAGCUCGUAGGUGGUUCGGUAAGUCGGGUGUGAAAACUUUGGGCUCAACCCAAAGCCUGCAUCCGAUACUGCUGUGACUAGAGUUCGGUAGGGGAGCGGGGAAUUCCUAGUGUAGCGGUGAAAUGCGCAGAUAUUAGGAGGAACACCGGUGGCGAAGGCGCCGCUCUGGGCCGAUACUGACACUGAGGAGCGAAAGCGUGGGUAGCAAACAGGAUUAGAUACCCUGGUAGUCCACGCCGUAAACGUUGGGCACUAGGUGUGGGUUCCAACCAACGGAAUCCGCGCCGUCGCUAACGCAUUAAGUGCCCCGCCUGGGGAGUACGAUCGCAAGAUUAAAACUCAAAGGAAUUGACGGGGGCCGCACAAGCAGCGGAGCGUGUUGCUUAUUUCGAUGCAACGCGAAGAACCUUACCUGGGCUUGACAUGUACGG